Molecule: ribosomal RNA, 531 nt
Filed under: Bifidobacterium breve
Lineage: Bacteria; Bacillati; Actinomycetota; Actinomycetes; Bifidobacteriales; Bifidobacteriaceae
Description: bacterial SSU rRNA
Rfam family: Bacterial small subunit ribosomal RNA
Source: RNAcentral
GGGUGGUAAUGCCGGAUGCUCCAUCACACCGCAUGGUGUGUUGGGAAAGCCUUUGCGGCAUGGGAUGGGGUCGCGUCCUAUCAGCUUGAUGGCGGGGUAACGGCCCACCAUGGCUUCGACGGGUAGCCGGCCUGAGAGGGCGACCGGCCACAUUGGGACUGAGAUACGGCCCAGACUCCUACGGGAGGCAGCAGUGGGGAAUAUUGCACAAUGGGCGCAAGCCUGAUGCAGCGACGCCGCGUGAGGGAUGGAGGCCUUCGGGUUGUAAACCUCUUUUGUUAGGGAGCAAGGCAUUUUGUGUUGAGUGUACCUUUCGAAUAAGCACCGGCUAACUACGUGCCAGCAGCCGCGGUAAUACGUAGGGUGCAAGCGUUAUCCGGAAUUAUUGGGCGUAAAGGGCUCGUAGGCGGUUCGUCGCGUCCGGUGUGAAAGUCCAUCGCUUAACGGUGGAUCCGCGCCGGGUACGGGCGGGCUUGAGUGCGGUAGGGGAGACUGGAAUUCCCGGUGUAACGGUGGAAUGUGUAGAUAUCG